This 406-nucleotide ribosomal RNA is filed under the name uncultured bacterium. RNAcentral's name for it is "partial 16S ribosomal RNA". It matches the Rfam family "Bacterial small subunit ribosomal RNA", at positions 30 to 526 of the family's 1533-position model. The record is from RNAcentral.
AUUGAACGCUGGCGGCAGGCCUAACACAUGCAAGUCGAACGAGUGGCGGACGGGUGAGUAAUGUCUGGGAAACUGCCCGCUAGAGGGGGAUAACUACUGGAAACGGUAGCUAAUACCGCAUACUAUCAGAUGUGCCCAGAUGGGAUUAGCUAGUAGGUGGGGUAAAGGCUAACCUAGGCGAAGAUCCCGAGCUGGUCUGAGAGUAUGAACAGCCCAACUGUGACUGAGACACGGUCCAGCCUCCUACGGGAGGCAGCAGUGGGGAAUAUUGCACAAUGGGAGCAAGCCUGAUGCAGCCAUGCCGCGUGUAUGAAGAAGGCCUGAGGGUUGUAAAGUACUUUCAGCGGGGAGGCGUUACCCGCAGAAGAAGCACCGGCUAACUCCGUGCCAGCCGCCGCGGUAAUAC